AGUGAACGCUGGCGGUAGGCCUAACACAUGCAAGUCGAACGGCAGCACAGUAAGAGCUUGCUCUUACGGGUGGCGAGUGGCGGACGGGUGAGGAAUACAUCGGAAUCUACUUUUUCGUGGGGGAUGACGUAGGGAAACUUACGCUAAUACCGCAUACGACCUACGGGUGAAAGCAGGGGAUCUUCGGACCUUGCGCGAUUGAAUGAGCCGAUGUCGGAUUAGCUAGUUGGCGGGGUAAAGGCCCACCAAGGCGACGAUCCGUAGCUGGUCUGAGAGGAUGAUCAGCCACACUGGAACUGAGACACGGUCCAGACUCCUACGGGAGGCAGCAGUGGGGAAUAUUGGACAAUGGGCGCAAGCCUGAUCCAGCCAUACCGCGUGGGUGAAGAAGGCCUUCGGGUUGUAAAGCCCUUUUGUUGGGAAAGAAAAGCAGCAGGUUAAUACCCCGCUGUUCUGUCGGUACCCAAAGAAUAAGCACCGGCUAACUUCGUG
This 492-nucleotide ribosomal RNA is filed under the name uncultured bacterium. RNAcentral's name for it is "partial 16S ribosomal RNA". It matches the Rfam family "Bacterial small subunit ribosomal RNA", at positions 29 to 507 of the family's 1533-position model. The record is from RNAcentral.